Molecule: small nucleolar RNA, 133 nt
Organism: Suncus etruscus (white-toothed pygmy shrew)
Lineage: Eukaryota; Metazoa; Chordata; Mammalia; Eulipotyphla; Soricidae
Product: small nucleolar RNA SNORA70
Exons: 1
Source: RefSeq, a predicted model, not a curated record
UUACAGCCAAUGAGCCAACCUUGCUCUUUUUCCUGUGAGACCUACUAUACAAUGGCUAAAAAUAGCAGCCUCCAUGGUAUUAGAUUCACCCUGAUGCAUGAAUGGACUAAUAUAAAGAACCUUGGAGAAGCUU